Non-coding RNA from Phasianus colchicus (ring-necked pheasant), 6708 nucleotides. The record is from RefSeq and is a predicted model, not a curated record. NCBI's taxonomy places the organism in Eukaryota, Metazoa, Chordata, Aves, Galliformes, Phasianidae.
UGCCCAGAGUCACAUCCAGCCUGGCCUUGAAUGCCUCCAGGGGUGGGAAUCAGAAAGAGAAACUGACAGUUUUCAACCCUGAUAUUCUAAUAAGUCUGCCAUUCUUAUUAAUUACCUGAAACUGUUAAGAUUAAUUCUGAUGAAGAGGUCCCAGUAACUCGCAUUUGGAUAACUACUGAAACAGUAUGUAAUUUGAAAAUAAGUCACUUAUUCUCUUUUAAAUAAAUUUAAAUGAAAUAGCCAAAUCAGUUAUGGAAUUUAGUAUUGUCAGAGUGAGCUUAGAAAGUAUAUCUGCAGAUUUUCCAUCAGUGAAAACUGGAAUACAAAGGGGGUCAACAGAAUUUAAAACCAAAACAUAAGGGAAAUGUUAUUCUCUGUUGUAUAAGAAAUGUUAGUAUCUGAUUCCAAAUUUGAAUAGAUACAACUAGUCAAAAGAUACUGGUCAAAAACUUGGUGGAGACCUGUAUGACCAGAAUGGAACUAUGCUGACAUGACUAUGAUAAAUAAUUAGUUAAAAUUUUAUAUAUAAGUUCAAAGGUGAAAGUUCAUGUUUCAGAACAUUCAUUAGUCUAAUUUUUUUGAGCUAGAUUUGCUAGCAAGGUUGUGCUUAGAUAUUUCAAUGACUUAAGUAAAGUGUUGCAUUCCAACUUGAAGCAAUGUCUUGUUUUUUGUGAAGGUGAGGUAGAAGAGGUAUAACUUCAACAUGGUGCAGAGCAGGAUGGUUUAUUAAGGACAAUAUUAUUCUAUGCCUUUUCUGCAGAAGCAGCUGGCAGAGAUAAGGAGGAUAAACUACUGUACUUAAUCUGUGCAGCUUUCUGGCAAGGAGAAGUCUUGUUAUUGGAAAUAAAUACUUGUAGUAAGAAGCCAUAGUCCUUUUUGAGUUAUCUGAAGAAACCUUAUUAAGGAUUCAAUGAUACAAUUACUCUGUCUAAGAAGGAUUUAAUAGAAUCUUAGAAUGAUUUGAAUUGGAAGGGACCUUAAAGCCCUUGCCAUGCUGCCUUAAAGCCCACCAGCUCAAGCUGCCCAGGGCCCAUCCAACCUGUCCUUGAGCCAGAAUGGUUUGAGUUGGAAGGACCUUUAAAGGGCAUCUAGUCCAACUCCCAAAGGAAGGAGGAUAAAUGGCUGAAACUGAGUGCAGAAAUGCAAGGUAGAUAAAUUAGUUCUGUUCUAACACAAUAGUGAUUUAUAGUGUUUCCUUUCUUCUUAUUAUAAAUAGCUUUAGAGGAAAUCUCUACAUGCCUAUACAAUUGUUUCCCUGGGUGUAAGACAGUUCUGCCAUGCAGAAAUAUCACUAGGAUCAUUUAGCUUAACUUAUUCCCAUACUAUUUGUUCUCUGGAGAUAAAUAACAGUAAAACACAAAGGAGGAAUGAUACAGGGUAAAAACUCAUUUUGUCCUGAUCUUAGUUCCAUAAGUAAAUAUCUUUUGCCAUAACAUUGCAAGCAAAAGCAAUUGCUUUUCUAUUAACAACAGCAAGGGCAUUUACUAAUAUUACUCCCUGGGCUGUAAUCAGUCAUCACCUCCUUACCCUAUGAAAAUCACAGCUGGCAUUUGCAAGAAUUACUUUAAUCUAUGAGGAUGAAAGGGACUGCUGACAGACAGAAACUUUGCCAACAACCUCCUAACACAGUCACUAGUUUCACCAACACUGAGAGCUUUCAGCAGUGCCUGGUUAGAAUGGGGGAAAUUGAAGUGCUGGUAUCUGAAGGAAAUACUUCUGGGAUUCUGUGACAAUUUCCUAAAGGUACAAAACUGAAAUGGGAAAAAACAGUGAUGUAGGAUGCAGUAACUUCUCUUAAUCAGAAAUUGCCUUUCAAAGCAUCACACUGGGUACCCAUUUACUAUGUUUUGUUACUUUUCAUCUUGAAAAAAUUCCUAGCUAUUUGUAAGACAUCUAUAUAGGGAUCAUUAGACCGCAACGUGAAAAAUAUCCACACUAAGGUUGGAACACCAAAAUAAUAUUGCAUUAGGGAUUGAGCACCUGAGCUGAAAAAUCCUGUCCGGUUGAAGCUGUACAGCCCUCUUUAGGCUAAAAGGAUGUAAUUGGGAUUUGCUCAGCAUCACGGGACGUUUUUAUUGGCUUUACAGUGCAAGGGAGAAAAGAUGACACAAUCUUUUCAUUUUCUAUACCAUGGAAUGGGUUGGGUCGAAAAGGAAUUCAAAUAGGUGGUCAGAUGGCUGGAUCUUUCUUUUCCCAUCAGCACUUCAUCACAGUGACACCCAGCACUGGGCUGAUACAGACACAGACAGAAAAAUGGCACCUACUUCCCUUCCUGCAACAUCUCAGCUCCCUGGGAGGUUCCCAGGCUGUGCAGUGACAAAUCUGCUUAGCUCACAAAAUAGGACAGGACCACUGGCCAGGACACUGUGGCUGGAGACAACAAAACACAGCCAUCAAAUGCAAUUGCACUCUCUGUGAAGCAGCUGGUGUUCUUAACUGUUUGAGUAGGUCUUGCAGCUGACAGUCUUGCUGUGGCACUAUUAGACUGACACAGUUUCCAGUCUUUUUGCCUGUUAGGGCAUCCUCUUUAACAGGAACCUCUUUCUCAUCUCUACUUGACUCAGAUCGAUUACAUUCUGGAAUGCAAACAGAUUCUUCACUGUGAAGAUACAAAAUAUAAAAAAGAAGUUUUUCAAGUGUAUAUAUAUGGCUGGGCAAAACAGAGCUGAAUACUGUACAACGACAUACAGCUGUUUGACAUUUACAUGUACUUCUCUGCUCUUCAAAAUUCUCUUAUAUAGCAACUGCAGAUAGCUUGAAAAGGAAGAAUAAUUAUCACCAAAAGCAAUGGAAUGUAGGAAAAAGAUAAAAAAUUUGGACAUCACACAGACAAGAAACAGAAUCCUGGCUGACAAAGAAGUAACAGGCUUAUGCAACUACAGAUGCCAUGGGAAGGUCUCACUACUUUAUUCAUUACUUCAUUCAUUAUACUGAAUAGGGAAGUUACACUUCAUUUGCUCUGAAGCGUUAUAAAUGUUAGAAACUUCUUUAGGUUUGUAAAAUGGAUGGAUAGGGCUGUGUUUUGACUUGGAUUUGAUUUAAAUGUGACAUUUUUCAAAUUUGUUGACUUAUAAGAAAGAGGUUUCUCGAACUGUCCUUUUUCUGCUACCUCAUUAUUGAAUUGUGGACUGUAAAAUGAUUUAAUUUUUGGCAAUGUAUAAUUGUGUUCUAAGUCCUAAACUGCCAGCACUUUGGAUAAUUACUGCAUCAUAUAAUGCUACGACCAAAACUACAGCAAAGUAAAAGUGUUGUUGGUUUUAUAUAUUUUAGCAGACCCCUGGCUAUAUUAUAAUUCAUACAGGCAUUUACAGAGGAGUAGGCCAGCUCAUGUCUUGUCUAGACCUUGUAAGGAGACUAGAUAUCUUAGUCUUCUUAUCAUAGAAUCAUAGAAUGGCUUGGGUUGGAAUGGACCUCAAAGAUCAUCAAGCUCCAACCCCUCCGCCACAGGCAAGGCUGCCAACCUGCACUUUUAAUAAUAGAAUUUUCAUAAUAAAUACAAUGCCAGUUCAUAUCAAAGUAUGCUCUGGAAAGAAGCAGAAGUUGGUUUGGUAGAAAAAUCUCUGCUCUGACCAGAUAGUUGUCUGCAACAGGAUUUACAUCCUGUUGUGUAUAGACAGCAGAACACGUGUAUAUGCAUACAAAAUGGACAUAAGAAAAUUUGAAUGGCUCGUCUGGACACUCUUUAGUGUGAUGAGUAAGGGAAAUACUGAUACAGUACAUGGUAUCAUUUAUUUGUCACAACAAUUUCAGGAGACAGGUUGGAAGAUGAAAAUCAAGGUAAGAAAGACACUACUGUUAAAAACUGUAAAAUCUACCACCAAACUGCUGGCCCCAUCAUUAUUGUUCCUUCCUUUCCUUUUUUUGCUUUUUGUUUUAUUACACUAACAAGGUUGCAUUUUUCCACCUAGAGCAUAUUUGGGCAAGAGUAGACAGGGAACUGUUUACAAUGUAAAUUUGUUUGAACAGUUCAGCUAUAGGAUUUGAUUCAAAAUGAUGGAGACACUGUCUUACUUAUACAAAUAAAUCAAAAAAUUAAGCUUGAAUACAUGAGCUCAGUCAAUGCAGCCAAACAAUUUAUAUCAAUCAAUCAUUAUUUUAAUUAAAUUUGAGGGGAAAAAUUCAAAACAACAACACUAACACUGCACACAUAUUAAAAUUCAUUGUGAUCAGGGCAGUCAAGAAUAUAAAUUCAUUGUACAGAGGGAAUAUUUUAGCAACAAUUCAUCAAAAUCUUUCAUACCUAAUAACUUUCACUAAGUUACAUUAAAUAUUCUUCAGUCAUUUCACAAUAUUUGAAGUUUAAUUAAUCACAGCAUCAAGCUUGUCUGAAAAAACACCAGGAGCAGUUUAUCUAGAGAAAAAUGAAGGACUUAAACAAUUCAGUAAUCUCACAAUCUACGUUUUGUACCAUAUUAGGUUAAGAUGGCUCAGAACGUUUCCCUUGGGAACUGGUUAGUUAAUAAAUGCAGACUAAUCAGUCAAAAGGAUAAUGACUUCCUCUGAAGAACCAGACUUUUUCCUGCAUGCAUCAAAAUUCUUUUUUAGCAAGGCUAUGAAGCAAACAACUUAUAUCUUGCAUCACUUUGCUUAUGUUUUUGAAUAAGAAAAAUUCUCUUCGAGCCAGACAUUCGGCUCAUCUCAAUUGUUACCUUCUCUUGUGGCAUUAUAUCAUGUAAGAGAUUUACUCCACUUUUUUUUCUGGUAUUUUAUAGUACAAAGUCAUCCAAACACUUCUGUGCAAUUUGUAGUUCAUGGUUCCAUUGAAACAACAUGUGUAGGAGUUAAUUUUUAACAAUGGGGGGCUUGUUUUGGUACAUGCUAAUCUCUCAAUGACUUCUUCUGCCUUAUGGUAAUCUUUACUUCCCUCUUUGUGUAGCACUUUUACUUUCCACCUUCUAAUGGGAUUUAUGAUGCUGAGACAAGCAAUGGCUAAAUGCUGGUCACUGCUAAAGUUCAGAGAUGGUGCACGCCAUAUCUAUAAUGCAACUUCUUAAGCAUGAGUUCUCCUAAAUCACACUGUUUACUAAUCCCCUGUUUAGAUGCACCCCACUCCCUCAAGAGGUAAUAUAAAUAAUUAAGUUGUCAAUAAAUGAUUUGCCUGUUCUAUAAAAAUUCAAAAUUUCAAAUAACAUCAUUGCCUCUCUCCACUUUCAAAAAUGUUUGUUUGUUUGUUUGUUUCAGUAAGAUGAAACGAGAACUGUAUAAGAUUUUUUACUGUAAAGUUAGUAUAAAAAUUUGAUGGAUGUUACACUUAUAAGACAAAAGAGACCCAGGGUGGUCAUUGUCUGACAUAGAUAAUCACUGUUCUUUCCACCAGGCUGGAAAAUAACUUUCUGUCUUUUCUGAUCAGUUGCUUUAUACAGGCCAGAAUGACUCCACUGGGCUUCAAGAGGAAAGCAAUCCAUCCUGGCCUAACUGACAGACUGUUAAUACAGCUUGUUAUGAGCAGUGGUAUACCUGUCAUGAAUUCAACAUCAUGAGGUUAUCACCUCUGUUAUCCUCUAAAGUUCCAGAGUUAACCAAUGCAACCACUUGCAAGGCUUGCACUAAGUGCUAUCCAGCAAUUUGGCUGUGAAUAUUAUUGAGCAUGAACUCAUAACCCCUGCCCUGCUGAAGCACAAUAAGUUAAAAUUUUCUCAUAUGAGUUUGGAGGAAAACCGUGGCAUUCUUUCUAUCAUUAUUCAAAAUGUGUAGAAGAAAUGGCUCGUGCUGCAUAUAGAUGAAGACAGAAUUGGCACUUGUACUGUAAGAAAUGUGUCCGCAUAGAAUAUGCAGUGGCAGGAACUCACAAUCAGUAUCUUUCUCAAUGACAGCAUACUUAAAUGUCAGCCAGCUCCAGCUUUCAGCAAACUCCCCCCAUCUUUCUUCUACAUCGCUGUCACAGGCUGGUAGGCCUCCUGGUACAACCCUGCCUUCUUUACAGCACUAUUUGCUCCAUGUCAAAUAACCACUUUGUUCCAUUUCUCAGAAUGGUUAUUUUCUUGAGGCAUAAUCUUGCAUAUUUAUUCCAGAAUUCCUUUGCAUGUAUGCAUACACAUAUUGUAAAAGCAUUUCAUUUCAACUUGAUGUCUACAACUUCAGUCUAUCCAUUUAUGGGUUGAUGGUUGGACUAGAUGAUCUUAGUGGUCUUUUCCAACCGUAAUGAUUUUAUGAUUCUAUGACUUAUGGAUAUGUCCCUCAACCAGUCAGCAAUUGAUUCCUGGGCCAUGGAAACUGAAUGGACUGUAUCUUUGAACUCCUUGGUUCCAAAGGACACCAAUAUAGGGCAGAUAUAGAGUGUAUAUAGAUGGCGUAUAUAUAGACAGAAGUUUAUUCGUAGACAUUUGGCUGGAAACUCACUGCCUUCUCACUGUUUUCCUCAUUAUUAAAUGUAAGAGUUGGAUCUUUCAGAUGUUUCUGUAAUAGCUAAUUCACUUCUCAAGUUAGUUCAAGCCUGAAAUUUUUGGUUCUUAAUUUUUACUUCUAUUUGAGAAAUUUCAGUUCAGGCUUCAGAAAAAAAAGCCACUUCGAGAUUUUGAUGCUGAGAUAAAAUAUAUUGUUGUAUGACAUAGUAUUUUAACUGCAAUAUUUUUUAACUAUAAAUGGUAGUUUCUAGAUUAAUUCAAGGAUAUUUGUCUUAUUUUUGGAUCAAAAUAUAUCCUGUUGAAUUGUAACAAAACAGAUAUAGCAAACAUAAGAGGUAAAAAAAAAAAAAAAAAAAAAAAAAAA